Long non-coding RNA from Varanus komodoensis (Komodo dragon), 833 nucleotides. RefSeq lists it as uncharacterized. The transcript has 3 exons. Lineage: Eukaryota; Metazoa; Chordata; Lepidosauria; Squamata; Varanidae. The record is from RefSeq and is a predicted model, not a curated record.
CGAUCACGUGGUAGGGGCAAAUGCAUAAAAGAAAGCUCGGAGACAUGCAAAUCAAAUAGAAAGAAGAGCCAAUGAGGCAGUGGGGGUACUCGCUAACCCCGCCUUUCUCCCAGGCUCAUCUUGCCGCGUGAGAGCCGAAACGAAUGCUUUUCCCUGGCAAGAGACAAAGACCUAAUGGCAGCUUAAAGCUUAUUUGUAGUAGCAUGAAAGUUUGAUGUGUACCAACCAGUUCGUUUCCCUAUACAGUUUUUUAAAUACUUAAAAAUACUUCUAAUAGCAGUGUUUUUCAUGUUUAUUAUGCUAAUAAUAAAGAGACAUCCUCAUCAUCAAAUCCGUAGUUUGGAGGAUCAUCUGAAAGCUGCCAAUUUCAGGUACUGAUAAUCAAUGAGGAGCAUUUUCCUAGCCUAGCAACUUUUACCAAGCCUGUUUAUCUACAAAUGGGAGUGGGGCAACCAGAUGCUGAGCCAUUGUUUUGCUUGCUGAACAUGCUAAUCUAGAAGGAGGACAACUGGGUUACCUGGGAGUAACUGAGCAACACAUCCAGCAAAGCAAGCCCUACUUAGGCACUGAGACAACCUGGUAAUGCUGAUAAAUAUAGGUCAACACCAGCAACACCCUUCCCCGACAAUAUCCCCAAAAGGAACAACGGCAGAUUUUCUCAUUGAUAAUUUCAGAAAUGAUUUUGCUUUUGACAUAAGCCGAACGCCUGAUGCAAACAAACAGAAUGGGCACAGCCAUGUGACUUUGUUGCUGAUGUAUGAUACAAUCUAAUUAACAGGCUUUAAUAUGAUUGCAGUGUCACAAAUUAAAUAUUAUAUAAAGCUCAUGCCUCA